GAGUCUGCGAUGGACUUUUGGGUUUCCAAGGGAAGAACAAAGUAGUAGUAAGCAGUAUUGGCAAUAGCCUGUCUACAUGCUUCACACAUACUGGCUGAUCCUUGAAAAGUCUUGCUAUUCUUUGAUGCCAUUACUGACUGUGUGCCAGAGAGGAAAAAAUGACACAGGCCUGGCGGCGAGUGUGGCACCCAGCACCUUCAGCACCGAAGGACCAACUCCCUAACACCUGAGCUCUAGGAAAUCAUUAUGAGGUCUUGGAGACCCUCUAAGCAAAGACUUCUCUUCACUGCCCUGAUGCAUGCUGAACAGCUUCUGGCUUGUGGAGAUAUUUCUUUCCCGGGGUUACCUUACGUUACUAGUUCCAAGAUCAAUGUAUGCAGCCUAAGGGAAGAUUAGAUGCUACUUCCUGCAGAUACCUAUGCAUUACAGUGGGGUAAAAGUCAUGGAUAAAGUCUUCCAGUUUUUAAGUUCACCACAGCUGAAGCAGUGCCUUUGAAGCCAGUUGCUGACUGUGUCCCAAGCAGUGAAGUAGCAGUUCUGAUCCUGUGCAAAGAAGGAUGGCGCACUACCCACGGCGUUAAAGGAAGGAGUAGCAAGUACUGUCUAUAGAUGAAUGAACCUUAAUAGCAGUAUACAUUUUGCUCUUCUGGGUACAUAAUUUCUACUUAAUUAUAAGUCCCGAGUUUGUGACUUUUAUGAGUGCAGCUCCUUUUCCUGUGCAGCAGGCAGUCGCAGCUGUGAUGCCCAGUUGUAGCACAGACACAGAAAUCAUUAAUGAUGCUCUGCAUGGAUCACCAUGCAAGGAGACUGAGACUUCUUCCACACAGAGUGACACCAGAUGUUUGGGGGAAGUAACAGUCACCUCCCAGGCUCAGUUCCUCACUGAUGAUGACUCAUUAGGAAAAUUACUUCUGCUUCCAUUUCUGAGCCCGUUGCUGCCACCUAAUUUCCACUGGGUCCGUUAGUCCGUUCAGAAGCAUAGCAACCCCUACUAGGAACUGCUGCCCUGGCCUGGGAAUUUCUGCUCCAGAGGUCAUUAGAGAGCUUUAUUAAUAAUCAUUGCACUAACCUCCCAGCUAGCCAGUGACAGAAAUGCCAUUUCUCCCAUUUUAUAGCUGAGAAAAAUUAAGCGUAGACAGAUCCAUCACCUGGUUACAAAGUCAAUGGGAACUCUUAAUGCUCCAUAAAUCUCAAAAUCAGGCUGCCAGCAACUUCUCCUAAAGGUAACCUGCAGGAGAGUUAUCCAGGAGACCAAGUUCCUACCCAUCAGGUACACUCCCUGCCCAGUUUACUGGGAGAAACCCGGACACAUCUCUCUGAAUUUCCAUUUCUGCAGUCAGACACAGAGAUGUGGGGAUCUGGAGGGCACGGUCAGGCAGGGGAAGAUUGCUCAGCUCUUCUUGCCCACAGCAGACAUUGCCUCUGUAGGGCAGUGGUACCUGUCUGGUGCCUGCACAGGUGAGAGCCCUCGAGGAAGGGGCAUGAUGCAUUUAAUGAUGGUGUUUUGGCAGAAGGGUAGAAACUAAUUUUUCUUAUAGGAACUCAGUUACAUGUCUGGUCAUCACCAGAAACUUGACUGUGAAAGAAUAUUUGGUUAUUUAAAUAUACAGUUUAGGUUAACUCAGGCUGCUUGAGAUAUGAGUAUAGCAGGAAUUGCGGGGGACUUGUUGGUUAGUUGGUUUUUCUUAAUUGAUUUUAUAAUUCAAUAUUGUAGAAACAAGUAGUGCUAGGAGGGGGAUGCUUAGCAACAUAUAUUAUAGUUAAGAAUUAUAGUUAAGAUUAUAUAGAGUUAUUUAAACAUAAAAGGAUUUUUUUCAAUGCUUUGUAACACCUUUGUCACUUGCAGAUGGAAUUUUAUGCAUGAGACUUAGGCUAACUCCAAGGUGGCGUAGAGAU
This is a long non-coding RNA of Strigops habroptila (Kakapo), 1896 nucleotides long. RefSeq lists it as uncharacterized. The record is from RefSeq and is a predicted model, not a curated record. Lineage: Eukaryota; Metazoa; Chordata; Aves; Psittaciformes; Psittacidae. The transcript is spliced from 3 exons.